RNAcentral lists this ribosomal RNA (253 nucleotides) under uncultured bacterium. RNAcentral's name for it is "partial 16S ribosomal RNA". It matches the Rfam family "Bacterial small subunit ribosomal RNA", at positions 524 to 776 of the family's 1533-position model. The record is from RNAcentral.
UACGGGGGGUGCAAGCGUUAAUCGGAAUUACUGGGCGUAAAGGGUUCGUAGGUGGUUAGAUAAGUUAUCUGUAAAAUCCCUGGGCUUAACCUGGGCAGGUCGGAUAAGACUGUUUAACUCGAGUAGAGGAGAGGGUAGUGGAAUUUCCGGUGUAGCGGUGAAAUGCGUAGAUAUCUGGAGGAACACCGGUGGCGAAGGCGGCAUCCUGGACCGACACUGACGCUGAGGAGCGAAAGCCAGGGGAGCAAACGGG